Molecule: long non-coding RNA, 3078 nt
Organism: Triticum aestivum (bread wheat)
Lineage: Eukaryota; Viridiplantae; Streptophyta; Magnoliopsida; Poales; Poaceae
Exons: 3
Source: RefSeq, a predicted model, not a curated record
AGGCUCCACCUCCUCAUACAGAGACUCCCGCACCCGAGCGGUUAUGUCAUUGAUAGAGAGGAAAAGUUUGCCGCUGGAUUUGGCCAUAUGGAGCAGAUCAGCCGAGGGGAAGACAACUGAGAAGUCAUUGUCCCCAACCUGGGCCACCUGCCAGUCCCAAUCCCCGGCGACCAUAUGCUUAAGCUCUUGUUUGAGGACACGGGGCGUGAGCAGGCCCGGAUCCGCUGAGAUGAUGGCUGAAUUGUCUGGCUUCAGAUCCGCACCUUCGACCAACUCCUCGUCCUCCUCGAACUGUAGGCAAAAGAAGCCCUCCCCCGAGAUGGCACUUCCCAUGAUCUGGAGGUUCAGGGCCUUCCCCAUCGUCGGGCACGCAACCGAGACGUGGCCCUCCUCCUUACACAGCACACAAAGUGGGUCAAACUUGCACUUGGACUGGUAAUGGCCCAGGCGACCACACUUGAAGCAUUCCACAUCAGGGAUCUCUUCCACCAGAAUGGGCGCAUCGGCCGAGCCUUUGGGGCCAGCCGGCAGGGCCACCGCGAGCGGCGCAGUGCUGGCGCGAGGCUUCUUGGCCAGUGGGUCGCCAUGGUUGGGGAGCGGCGCAGAUUUCUGCUCCAACUCUCUGCGCCUGCGCCCUUCCUUCUUCAAACGCUUCCGCUCUUAUUGCUGGAUCCACCAAGGGGGAGGGGACCCCAAUCCCCCUCACUCCCUCCUUGCGCGGCCGCGGAUCCGCGUGCAUCACGCGCCUCACGGCCGUCGCGACCACCCUGCCGGCCACCCAUGGCGCUGUUGGCCUUCUCACGGAGCGCUUUCUCCCGCCGCAGCUCCGCGUCUUGCUCCCCCGCCACCAUUGGACGCUUGUCCGCUCGUCGAUCCCCCAUCACCGCCGCCGCAAAGGAAAUGGAAAGAGGAGGGGGAGGGGAAAGAAUGCGAAUGGAUCUCGCAGUGUGAGACAGGCGCCGCACCUCGCGAGUAGAUGCGGGAAACCCUAAAGACAGGUCGCUGCAUCCCUUGCGGAGCCAUAUAUAGCCCCGGCGCACACGAGGUACACGGGCUGUCCCAGGCCCACUUGGGCCCUCCCCGCAUGCCCUCGGAGGCCCACUAGAAGGGACCGGGCCAUACUGACCCCGAGACGGCACCACAGCGAGCGGCCCAGUUGAGCCCACCUGGUUCCCAGGCCCACCCGCGGAAACCCUAGGCGACGCAGACCCCGAUCCCGUCGCCCGGACGCCCUCCGCCGUGGGCGGCGCCGCCGCCGCCACCGCGCGGGAGGGAGGAGGGGGGCCAAGGCCGGCCACUCCUCCACGGCCCCAACCCCAAAGACGGGCUCGCCAGUGCUGCCGCAGUGCGCGCACGGAUAGCACCAGCCGCCACCCCCGCCGAGUCCCUGCUCUGCGGAGAGCCCGUCAGCGGGCACCAGACCUGAGACGCCACCGCACGCGAACCACCUCCACCAGGAGCGAAACACCGGCGCCGCCCUGCGUCCCCAGACGACAACCCUGCAAAAGCAACAAAAUCACUUACCUUGGGACCCGAUGGUGCCGCCAGGACGCCGCUCUCGACCACCUCAUCCUCACUGUCCGAGCACUCCGAAGCGAGCGCCCAGAACCUUCCACCACUCACGACCGGCUCCACGCGGAGAAAAGGAGCCGCCCGCCUUGCGGGUGACCGCUUGGGGGCCCGCCGGACCACCUGCCACCCCGCCGCCGGAGAGACCGCGUCGGGCCGCGCCUCGUCGCCCUCCCUGUCGCCAGAGCCACCGCGUAACGGUUCACUCAUUUCAAAUCUCUAAUAAUAUGGAAAAAUGAAAUAACACCACCCUCUCUCCGUUUCAUACAAUUGCAAUGUGCAGAAGCACUGUUCAAGAAAAAGGGAACCCAACUGCCUAUAGUUCAGGCCAGCCUCUGAUAUGUCUUUUUGCUUGAGUUAACUGGCACCGGAAUCUGGAUGUUUUUCAAAGAGUUAUCGUUGUCCAGCUCAUUCAGAGAUUGUGUUUCUACUGCAGCAAACUUCCUAUCUUCUGUACUUCCAAGCUCCAAUAUUUCUGAACUAGACAAUUAGCUGCUAAGUGUGCUGCACUUGCAAUAUUUAUUCUCAAACUAAAAUUCUACACCAAUGUCAUUUUGUGUUUUUUUUCCAAAUUAUGAUGCUAUUGUUUCAGCCAUUAAUAUUGAAAUGUGUUCCCAAAGCAUAUUUGAUAUUUAACUGUGCUUUGGUAAGGUGCCAACUGCUACUGGACAAGUUGAUACAGAGAUACUUAUCAGUGAUGGUCAACAGCAAAUAAGAGAAUUGUUUCCAUCUCGUGCCAUAUAUUUGCGUUGUAUCAGUAUCUAAACUGCUCCUUUGUGCAGGUAACAUAGGCAAAAAUUCAAGUAUCAAAGGAACCUAUGGCUUUUGGUAUUCUGUUAGGAAAAUUCUCUUUUGUAAGAAGGCCAAAUCUUUUCCCAGGAUUUUGUGACCAUGUAUAGUACUGGAUAUUGAAGUAAAGGACAACUUACCGCUUCCGGCCACCCCACACACCGCAGAUUGCCCCGACAACUCAUCCCCACGCAAGAGCCGCCCUCGGCCGCAAGCGGAACAUCCCUCAAUACCAAGCGACUCGACGAGGACACGGAGGUCCUUUCAUGGGCGCAAAUGGCGAUAUGUGGAAUGCAUUCUUGCCAAGCUAAGUUGUUAUCUACAUCAAUGAAAAGUUCUUUGCGACGGUGCACAAGCGACACUGCUGCAGCGCUGCAUCCUCCUGUUGGACAAGCGACGUGGAGAGCUACUUCGAAUUGCAUGGAGAUGAACAAAAGGGACCAGUGAGAAAAGAUGAAGACAAGUGUUUCAGUUCAGCGAAAAAAGAUCAUAUAUGCUGGCUCGUUUUUCUUGUUCUCAUUUUGGCUCUGUAAACAAAGCUGGAUAUGUAUUAGGAUCUACCUGGUGGUGAGAGAACUUCUGCUUUCCUUCAUGUUGGCUGUAGGAGGUAGUUAGGCCUUUCUCUGAUGUGUGGUCGUCUGAACUGGAUGUACUGGCCGUUUUCUGCUUCAUUAUAUAAAAUGGGGCAGGGGGGAAACCCCUUUCUUUUUUAAAAAAAAG